CCUACGGGCGGCAGCAGUGAGGAAUAUUGGUCAAUGGGCGCGAGCCUGAACCAGCCAAGUAGCGUGAAGGAUGACUGCCCUACGGGUUGUAAACUUCUUUUAUAAAGGAAUAAAGUGCGGCACGUGUGCCUUUUUGUAUGUACUUUAUGAAUAAGGAUCGGCUAACUCCGUGCCAGCAGCCGCGGUAAUACGGAGGAUCCGAGCGUUAUCCGGAUUUAUUGGGUUUAAAGGGAGCGUAGAUGGGUUGUUAAGUCAGUUGUGAAAGUUUGCGGCUCAACCGUAAAAUUGCAAUUGAUACUGGCAGCCUUGAGUACAGUAGAGGUAGGCGGAAUUCGUGGUGUAGCGGUGAAAUGCUUAGAUAUCACGAAGAACCCCGAUUGCGAAGGCAGCUUACUAAACUGUGACUGACAUUGAUGCUCGAAAGUGUGGGUAUCAAACAGGAGUAGAUACCCGAGUAGUC
Molecule: ribosomal RNA, 460 nt
Filed under: uncultured bacterium
Lineage: Bacteria
Description: partial 16S ribosomal RNA
Rfam family: Bacterial small subunit ribosomal RNA
Source: RNAcentral